GCCGGUGAUGAUAUCUUUUUAAUAUGGUUGACUGAAAAAGCAAGCUUUUAUGCUUGCAUUUGUUGAAAAUCAUGAACUAGGACGGUCUGAGGC
Small nucleolar RNA from Cynara cardunculus var. scolymus (artichoke), 93 nucleotides. RefSeq annotates it as small nucleolar RNA snoR20a. The transcript has a single exon. The record is from RefSeq and is a predicted model, not a curated record. Lineage: Eukaryota; Viridiplantae; Streptophyta; Magnoliopsida; Asterales; Asteraceae.